RNAcentral lists this ribosomal RNA (1493 nucleotides) under metagenome. Its description in RNAcentral is "bacterial SSU rRNA". It matches the Rfam family "Bacterial small subunit ribosomal RNA". The record is from RNAcentral.
AGGGUUUGAUUCUGGCUCAGAGUGAACGCUGGCGGCGUGUUUUAGGCAUGCAAGUCGAACGGUAACGACGUAGAAGCUUGCUUCUAUGGGCGACAAGUGGCGGACGGGUGAGUAACACGUAGGAAUCUACCCAGAGGACGGGGAUAGCCAAGAGAAAUCUUGGGUAAUACCCGAUGAUAUCGAAAGAUCAAAGGCGCCUUAAAGCGUCACCUUUGGAUGAGCCUGCGCCCCAUCAGCUAGUUGGCAGGGUAAAUGCCUACCAAGGCUAAGACGGGUAGCUGGUCUGAGAGGAUGAUCAGUCACAAGGGAACUGAGACACGGUCCCUACUCCUACGGGAGGCAGCAGCCAAGAAUAUUCCGCAGUGGACGAAAGUCUGACGGAGCGACGCCGCGUGAAGGAUGAAGGCCUUCGAGUUGUAAACUUCUUUUAUAAGGGAAGAAUAAGUCAAUCAGGAAAUGGAUAGGCGAUGACGGUACCUUUUGAAUAAGCCCCGGCUAAUUACGUGUCAGCAGCCGCGGUAAUACGUAAGGGGCAAGCGUUACUCGGAUUUACUGGGCAUAAAGGGCUUGUAGGCGGCUAUGCAAGUUGAAUGUUAAAGAUCAAGGCUUAACCUUGGGAAUGCGUUCAAAACUGCAUAGCUUGAAUCUAGUGGAAGGUGAUGGAAUUCCCGGUGUAGCGGUGAAAUGCGUAGAUAUCGGGAAGAACACCAAAGGCGAAGGCAAUCAUCUAUACUAAGAUUGACGCUGAGGAGCGAAAGCGUGGGGAGCGAACAGGAUUAGAUACCCUGGUAGUCCACGCCGUAAACGAUGUACACUAGGAGUUGGGGGGAUACCCUUAGCUCCGCAGCAAAUGCGAUAAGUGUACCGCCUGGGGAGUACGGCCGCAAGGUUGAAACUCAAAGAAAUUGACGGGGGCCCGCACAAGCGGUGGAGCACGUGGUUUAAUUCGAUGAUAAGCGAAGAACCUUACCAGGGUUUGACAUGAUAGUGACCGCUAUCGAAAGAUAGUUUUCUCGUAAGAGACAUUAUUACAGGUGCUGCAUGGUUGUCGUCAGCUCGUGCCGUGAUGUGUUGGGUUAAGUCCCGCAACGAGCGCAACCCUUGUUUCUAGUUGCUACAUUUGGUUGGGAACUCUAGAGAGACUGCCGGCGGCAAGUCGGAGGAAGGAGGGGAUGACGUCAAAUCAUCAUGGCCUUUAUAUCCUGGGCUACACACAUGCUACAAUGGACAGUACAGAGGGCUGCGAAACCGCGAGGUCGAGCCAAUCCCCAAAACUGUCCUCAAUAUGGAUCGGAGUCUGCAACUCGACUCCGUGAAACUGGAAUCGCUAGUAAUCGUGGAUCAGCAAUGCCACGGUGAAUACGUUCUCGGGCCUUGUACACACCGCCCGUCACACCACCCGAGUUGGUUUCUCUUGAAGCUGGUUACCCUAACCGUAAGGAAGGGGCUAGUUAGGGAGGGGCUGGUAAGGGGGGUGAAGUCGUAACAAGGCA